This 253-nucleotide ribosomal RNA is filed under the name uncultured bacterium. RNAcentral's name for it is "partial 16S ribosomal RNA". It matches the Rfam family "Bacterial small subunit ribosomal RNA", at positions 524 to 776 of the family's 1533-position model. The record is from RNAcentral.
UACGAAGGGGGCUAGCGUUAAUCGGAAUUACUGGGCGUAAAGCGUGCGCAGGCGGUUUUGUAAGUCUGUCGUGAAAUCCCCGGGCUCAACCUGGGAAUGGCGAUGGAGACUGCAAGGCUAGAGUUUGGCAGAGGGGGGUAGAAUUCCACGUGUAGCAGUGAAAUGCGUAGAUAUGUGGAGGAACACCGAUGGCGAAGGCAGCCCCCUGGGUCAAAACUGACGCUCAUGCACGAAAGCGUGGGGAGCAAACAGG